GCAAACUUGGUCAUUUAGAGGAAGUAAAAGUCGUAACAAGGUUUCCGUAGGGUGAGUCAAGUCUAUUCUCCUGUUUUCGUCGUUCUAUGCUAACUAUCCUCUUAGUGAACCUGCGGAAGGAUCAUUACCGAGUGAGGGUUCCUCGUGAGCCCAACCUCCCACCCUGUGUCGACCGUACCGUGUUGCUUCGGCGGGCCCGUCGCGCCCCCGUGCGCGACCGCCGGAGGGCCUCUGGCUCUCCGGUCCGCGCCCGCCAGGAGCCCUGUCAAACUCGUGAAUCAACGUGGCGUCUGAAGAACCUUUAUAAAUGCAAAUGCAAAACUUUCAACAACGGAUCUCUUGGUUCUGGCAUCGAUGAAGAACGCAGC
Molecule: unclassified non-coding RNA, 368 nt
Filed under: uncultured fungus
Lineage: Eukaryota; Fungi
Description: partial contains small subunit ribosomal RNA, internal transcribed spacer 1, and 5.8S ribosomal RNA
Rfam family: Eukaryotic small subunit ribosomal RNA (bases 1-127)
Source: RNAcentral